GAUGAAGAACGCAGCGAAAUGCGAUAAGUAAUGUGAAUUGCAGAAUUCAGUGAAUCAUCGGAUCUUUGAACGCACAUUGCGCCCGCCAGUAUUCUGGCGGGCAUGCCUGUUCGAGCGUCAUUACAACCCUCAGGCCCCCGGGCCUGGCGUUGGGGAUCGGCGGAGCCCCCCGUGGGCACACGCCGUCCCCCAAAUGCAGUGGCGGUCCCGCCGCAGCUUCCAUCGCGUAGUAGCUAACACCUCGCGACUGGAGAGCGGCGCGGCCACGCCGUAAAACACCCAACUCUUCUGAAGUUGACCUCGAAUCAGGUAGGAAUACCCGCUGAACUUAAGCAUAUCAAUAAGCGGAGGA
RNAcentral lists this unclassified non-coding RNA (352 nucleotides) under soil metagenome. Its description in RNAcentral is "partial contains 5.8S ribosomal RNA, internal transcribed spacer 2, and large subunit ribosomal RNA". The stretch from base 1 to 120 matches the Rfam family "5.8S ribosomal RNA", at positions 35 to 154 of the family's 154-position model. The record is from RNAcentral.